UGGAGCCUGGCUGCACCUGUUGUAGACCCCUGCCACUAGGGAAGGGUCUCUGAUUGGAGAUCCCUCCUCUGUGAAGUUUUUCCUCUGUAGGCCUAGAUCCUCGGGUAUGAUUUCAUCAUCAACUCAUUGUUGAAAUGGAGGAGUGGUAUUCUGACAUGGGUAUUAACUACUGCUAGAUGAUAGCAUUCUGAAAAAAGCACGUAAACACAAAUUUUUCGUAAGAGUACACUAAAUGACUUGAAGAUAGAAAUCUGCAUCUUACAUCAGAACACUGGAAGAGGAGAUACUGAGCCAGCUGUCACUGAGUAAAACAGUUUUGAGAUAUCAAUGAUAACAAACUCUUGCUUGAAAUGGAAAAGGGAGAAGGUGUAGAUCAAACUUUCCUCAUAUGCAUACUUUGAAUAAAACAUAAAAUACUUAUAAACCUUCUAAGUCCAAAACACUUAAAUUAUAUAUACUUAGGGAUUCCUUUAUUUAUCUUUCUAAUCUUUUAUGCAUUAUUUCUUAUGCGUGACUAUGUAUGCGGAAAUAUUUUCUUUUUAAUAAAAAUUGAAAUUUUGAAAUUUCUUAAAUAAAACCAUGAUUCUAGA
Long non-coding RNA from Lagopus muta (rock ptarmigan), 590 nucleotides. RefSeq lists it as uncharacterized. The record is from RefSeq and is a predicted model, not a curated record. The transcript is spliced from 3 exons. NCBI's taxonomy places the organism in Eukaryota, Metazoa, Chordata, Aves, Galliformes, Phasianidae.